GAGACGAGCUUAGUAAGUAAGUGUGUUAGUGAGUGAAGUUUAUUAAGACAGAAUCGGAACGAUAAUUUUUUUGGAAACGUACAUGUCUGCACGAGAAAUAGCACAACUAUUAAAAUUUCAAAAACGUGAUGGUCGUGUAAACUCUGGUGUCGUGGCUCUCCACACUCUCCAGUCUCCAUGCAUGCUGUUUGGCGGAUUUCAGGCCUGAACCAGUCAUCAUUACAACACGAUAUGCAAGUUUUGCUUCUGCUGUCAUUGAUCUACCAUCAGCAACAUACUCAGUCAUCGCUUGGAUAAACAGCAUCCAGACAUCCAGCUUGAUUAGAAAAACUCAGUCCUUGUGUACACCCAUGUGAGUGUGGGGGUAUUCACGAGGACGCCCUUUUUCCGUCAUUCAACUUUUCUGCAGGAUGGAGCACUUAUGGAUGCCUGACUGUUUUUUCCCAGGCAUA
Molecule: long non-coding RNA, 452 nt
Organism: Daphnia pulicaria
Lineage: Eukaryota; Metazoa; Arthropoda; Branchiopoda; Diplostraca; Daphniidae
Exons: 3
Source: RefSeq, a predicted model, not a curated record